GAUGAACGCUGGCGGCGUGCCUAAUACAUGCAAGUCGAGCGAACAGACGAGGAGCUUGCUCCUCUGACGUUAGCGGCGGACGGGUGAGUAACACGUGGAUAACCUACCUAUAAGACUGGGAUAACUUCGGGAAACCGGAGCUAAUACCGGAUCAUAUAUUGAACCGCAUGGUUCAAUAGUGAAAGACGGUUUUGCUGUCACUUAUAGAUGGAUCCGCGCCGCAUUAGCUAGUUGGUAAGGUAACGGCUUACCAAGGCAACGAUGCGUAGCCGACCUGAGAGGGUGAUCGGCCACACUGGAACUGAGACACGGUCCAGACUCCUACGGGAGGCAGCAGUAGGGAAUCUUCCGCAAUGGGCGAAAGCUUGACGGAGCAACGCCGCGUGAGUGAUGAAGGUCUUCGGAUCGUAAAACUCUGUUAUUAGGGAAGAACAAAUGUGUAAGUAACUAUGCACGUCUUGACGGUACCUAAUCAGAAAGCCACGGCUAACUACGUG
This 497-nucleotide ribosomal RNA is filed under the name uncultured bacterium. RNAcentral describes it as "partial 16S ribosomal RNA". It matches the Rfam family "Bacterial small subunit ribosomal RNA", at positions 28 to 507 of the family's 1533-position model. The record is from RNAcentral.